This 119-nucleotide ribosomal RNA is filed under the name Helianthus annuus (common sunflower). Lineage: Eukaryota; Viridiplantae; Streptophyta; Magnoliopsida; Asterales; Asteraceae. The record is from RNAcentral.
GGUUGCGAUCAUACCAGCACUAAUGCACCGGAUCCCAUUAGAUCUCCGCUGUUAAGCGUGUUUGGGCGAGAGUAGUACAAGGAUGGGUGACCCCCUCGGAAGUCCUCGUGUUGCAACCC